CUAAGUUUGCGUUUGGAUGAACAAAUGAAUUUAGUAUUUACUUGAAAUCACAGUGAGGAAGUACCUUUCAAACUACGGUUUUGCUCUAAUCUUUCAAUCAUUCUCUAAUUUAAUUUUCAAUAUCUUGCUAACCUUCAUUUGUGGAUGAUCUUCACUUCUGCUUAGAUGAUUUUUGUGUAUAUUCUGUAUUCCAUCUGGAGCUGGAAUGGAAUGUGUCAUUGCUGAACCCUGGGCUUGAAUGGGAUGCAUCAUUUUUUGAUGAACCGGUUCUUCUCUCAAUCCUAAGGCUAACCGUGAGGAGAUGACUCAAAUAAUGUUUGAAACCUUCAACACUCUUGCUAUGUAUGUUGCUAUCCAGGCUGUUCUCUCACUUUAUGCCAGUGGUCGUACUACUGGACAUGGAUGGAUAUAAUUUGUGCUCGGAUUUUGAUUAUUUUGCAGUUAAUUUGGAUUUAUUUUUUUUCUGCUUUUCUGUCGCUUAUUUUGAUUUUGAUUUUUUUUUUUUUUUCUAGGUAUGCAUGCAUCACGCAUCUGAUUUUGGACAGUCUAGAUUAGCAUACAGGCACCCCGUUCUUCUAUCAGAUGAUAUUAUCUUAUUUAUGUUGUUGAGGAAAUUUUGCUUCAACUUUAGACUGAUUAUUUCCUGUAGGAUGUGUAGGAACCUUUCUUCUUAUAUUAUGGUAUGUUCUUUUACUUUCGAGAUGAUUCUUCCUGUUUCAGGCUUUCAGCUAUUUUUUGUUUAAAGCUCUUUUCUUUUACUUUUUCAUAUAUUUUAGUGGACCCAUGAACUUUUUCAAAGAUCAUUGCUAGGCUGAGAGCCUGAUAGUAGGUUUAUCUACUGGAGAACUUCAAGGAAAAUGGAAAUUGUGAGGAAGACACGCCGAGAGCCUAUCUGUUUAUUGCCUUUUCGGCCUGAUAGCAGUGUUGAUGUUUUUCCAAUUGUUUGUUUCUUAAGUUAGUGAUUCUUUUAUUUUAUUGUAUAUGAAAAACAAGUACAGGAACUACUCGGGACCCUUUUACAAGUUACCUACAUUUAGCUUGAAACCGCAAGAAAUACUAUCUAAGCAGAAGAUCAGGGCCUAGAUUUUAGUCUCCAAUAUCAUUUCAUGAUAAUUCCAGUUUGCAUACUGUCAAACCAUAAAGUAGUCUGCAUUGCUAGAAUAUAAAAGAAGCACGUACCUUUGUUUUUUGGUGCAGCUUAUGACAUUGAGUGAGGCACCAUUUUUACAAUGUGGAAGACAUUGAAUCAAGAACAACAAUUUGUUCAACCCUACAGACACAAAUAAUUAUUAAGUUUACAUGGGUUUUGUGGGAGUGUUAAUUUGUUGAUCUUUUAUUUCUUUUCUUAGGUUGGAUAUUCCUUUUCGCUAUUAUUCCUAGUGUUGAAUUGAAAUGUCAGACAUUCAUUACUCUUCAGAUCUGAAUUGAAAUGUCAGACAUUCAUUACUCUUAUUUUGCUGUUAGUGUUGCCUCAUCAUCUAUCAUUAAUUCAAAUCAACAGGUCGUUUUCUUUCUAAUUUCUUGAUGGAUUUUUUCUUCUGUUCACAAUCCAGCCUCAGUGAGUUAUAGGUGAACUAUAAUAAUGAGCAAUCUAGGUGCAUCUGUCAUAUGCUGCCGGGUCUCUCCAAAGCAGAAAGCCCUGGUAGGAUUUGUGAGCCUUUAUUGAUGUGACAUCGUCAUGUUUGUUCUAUUUCCUUUCAAUGAGACAUUGAAUAAUUCUUUCCAUUGAUUUGAAUCCCGAGAUGGGUCUUGUUUUUCAGGUGAUGGGGCUGUGUUUUUUGUCGUCUGUAUUGGUUGCUAGCCCCAAUAGAGUGCUUUGCCAGAAAAGUGUAGUAGUAGCUGCAACAGCUAAUGUGAGUGAAAGGACUGUUACAAUCAGUCGUGGGUUUUAAUUUGUGUGUUUAUAUGUACAUAUGAAUGUGUAUGUAUGUACGUGUGAAAUUUUGUAAGUUUUGAGUGUUGGAGGUGAUAUACAACAAUGGAUUCUGAUUUGGGUUUUCAAUAUUUUAAUGUGGUUGUCUUCUUUUUCAAGAGGUUGUUUGAUUUUUUGUGGAAUUUGAUUGAUGGGUCUGAUUUAAUUGUUGUUUUCUAUUGGCAGUGAGAUCAUGAUAGACUUCAACGAUUGCUCAAAACAAGUCGGUGCUUAUGUACAUUGUAUGGGCAAGUUGGGCCUGUGGCAGGCCAUAAUUGUCAUUCAAGCAGAGGAGUGAAUCUAGACCCAUUAAGCAAGUGGUCAAAGGGAUUUGAGGCCUUGUCCUACAUAAAUGCAGGGAAACAUUUUUAACCAUUGCAAUUUAAUUCACUCCAGCAUCACCAUCUGUUUCAUGCUGAACUAAAGAUAUAACACAUUGUGUUGGAAAUAAAGGCCUAUUGUGUUUCCUCUUCGGCAUGAUGCAUUUGAGGAAAUUUAUGUUG
Long non-coding RNA from Magnolia sinica, 2415 nucleotides. RefSeq lists it as uncharacterized. The transcript has 5 exons. The record is from RefSeq and is a predicted model, not a curated record. NCBI's taxonomy places the organism in Eukaryota, Viridiplantae, Streptophyta, Magnoliopsida, Magnoliales, Magnoliaceae.